Molecule: unclassified non-coding RNA, 871 nt
Filed under: Hevea brasiliensis (rubber tree)
Lineage: Eukaryota; Viridiplantae; Streptophyta; Magnoliopsida; Malpighiales; Euphorbiaceae
Rfam family: small nucleolar RNA snoR137 (bases 94-234)
Source: RNAcentral
UUUGAGUUUUUGAAGUUAGCAUUUUACUCAGAAAAAUUUUGAAUUUGCUACAGCAUCAGAGCAUUUUGUUCCUUCUGUAUUCAGAUCUGAAAUGUUGCUUCUUACUUGUGAGCACCUCUUGUUUUAUGUGGGGAUGUUCCUGUUUCGGAAGCAUAUAUUAAUUCUUUUACCAGUUAUAAACAGCGUGAUGAAUAUUUCAUUUCUGCAUCACGCUACCUGUCUUCUGGUACAAACUCAUGUGAUCUAUGCAAUGAUAUGAUGAUCUGUGUCUUUAAUUGUAGCACCAGCAUAUAACAUGAUUUAAAGAUAUGGAAGACUGUAGUAUUUGACAGCUAUAGAACAUCUAAAUUUUAUAUGGUAUAUGUUAUGGGUUUGGGAUCAGGGUAGAACUAUGUCAUGAAGAAGCUGUGGCUUUGUAUUUGGUUGAUUCUGCCUGAAAAGUGUCCAACUUUUGAUGUCUUUUAUGCCUCUUUUGGGUUGUCCUCUAUCCCCUUUAUGACAGUAUAGCAAUUCAAUGUCACGAAUGACAGAUUUUUGCUCUUGCCUGAACUGGAAGUUGAGUUUGAAGCUUUAGCAGAUGCAGGUCAUGGCUGAAGGCUGUUGAAACAAGGCCUUCCUUUGAUUGCGAGUGUUGAGUCUAUACCAACCUUAACCCCCUAGGUUGGGGUUCGAAGAGUGUAGAAUGUAUGCAGCUCUUUCCCUCUGCCUUUAGAUGGUAGAGCGGCUGAACGAAGACGAUUCAGACUAUGGAUUGAUGUAAAACUAAUUGGAUUUCCCUCAAUACUGUGUUUUAUUGAGGUCCAUGUCUUCCUUGGAAAUGGAUUGGCUGCUGAUAUGUUUUAGCAUUUGAUACAUACUUGUAGUUACUGAA